RNAcentral lists this ribosomal RNA (1479 nucleotides) under uncultured Flavobacteriia bacterium. RNAcentral describes it as "bacterial SSU rRNA". It matches the Rfam family "Bacterial small subunit ribosomal RNA". The record is from RNAcentral. Lineage: Bacteria; Pseudomonadati; Bacteroidota; Flavobacteriia.
AGAGUUUGAUCCUGGCUCAGGAUGAACGCUAGCGGCAGGCUUAACACAUGCAAGUCGAGGGGUAACGGGGAAGCUUGCUUCCGCCGACGACCGGCGCACGGGUGCGUAACGCGUAUACAAUCUACCUUGUACUGGGGUAUAGCCUUUAGAAAUGAAGAUUAACCCCCCAUAGUCUCUUAGAGUGGCAUCACUUCUAGAGUAAAGGUUACGGUAUAAGAUGAGUAUGCGUUCUAUUAGUUUGUUGGUGUGGUAACGGCACACCAAGACUACGAUAGAUAGGGGCCCUGAGAGGGGGAUCCCCCACACUGGUACUGAGACACGGACCAGACUCCUACGGGAGGCAGCAGUGAGGAAUAUUGGACAAUGGAGGCAACUCUGAUCCAGCCAUGCCGCGUGCAGGAAGACUGCCCUAUGGGUUGUAAACUGCUUUUAUACAGGAAGAAACACCUCUACGUGUAGAGGCUUGACGGUACUGUAAGAAUAAGGAUCGGCUAACUCCGUGCCAGCAGCCGCGGUAAUACGGAGGAUCCAAGCGUUAUCCGGAAUCAUUGGGUUUAAAGGGUCCGUAGGUGGAUAAUUAAGUCAGAGGUGAAAUCUUGCAGCUCAACUGUAAAAUUGCCUUUGAAACUGGUUAUCUUGAGUUAUUAUGAAGUAGUUAGAAUAUGUAGUGUAGCGGUGAAAUGCAUAGAUAUUACAUAGAAUACCAAUUGCGAAGGCAGAUUACUAAUAAUCAACUGACACUGAUGGACGAAAGCGUGGGUAGCGAACAGGAUUAGAUACCCUGGUAGUCCACGCCGUAAACGAUGGUUACUAGCUGUUUGGACUUCGGUCUGAGUGGCUAAGCGAAAGUGAUAAGUAACCCACCUGGGGAGUACGUUCGCAAGAAUGAAACUCAAAGGAAUUGACGGGGGCCCGCACAAGCGGUGGAGCAUGUGGUUUAAUUCGAUGAUACGCGAGGAACCUUACCAGGGCUUAAAUGUAAGUUGCAUUAGUUAGAGAUAGCUAUUUCUUCGGACCACUUACAAGGUGCUGCAUGGUUGUCGUCAGCUCGUGCCGUGAGGUGUCAGGUUAAGUCCUAUAACGAGCGCAACCCCUGUUGUUAGUUGCCAGCGAGUCAUGUCGGGAACUCUAGCAAGACUGCCAGUGCAAACUGUGAGGAAGGUGGGGAUGACGUCAAAUCAUCACGGCCCUUACGUCCUGGGCUACACACGUGCUACAAUGGUAGGUACAGAGAGCAGCCACUGCGCGAGCAGGAGCGAAUCUACAAAACCUAUCACAGUUCGGAUCGGAGUCUGCAACUCGACUCCGUGAAGCUGGAAUCGCUAGUAAUCGGAUAUCAGCCAUGAUCCGGUGAAUACGUUCCCGGGCCUUGUACACACCGCCCGUCAAGCCAUGGAAGUUGGAAGUGCCUGAAGUCCGUCACCGUAAGGAGCGGCCUAGGGUAAAGUCGAUAACUAGGGCUAAGUCGUAACAAGGUAA